GGGAUCAGAAAACACGCUGGUUAAUGAGUGGCCAAGAACAUAUCAGCUUAAGUUUGGGAAAAACACACAACAGGGCAUUGUGUCAGAGGGUGACCGAAGUGGCUCCCCAGCAGAUGGAUCAGGGAAUGAACAGGUGACCUUUGAACUGAGGCCGGAGUGGCAGCAGCGAGGGUGUGAAGGUCUGGGUGAGGGUCAAAGGCAGAAGCAAGCAGGUGGGGAGGGUUAGCGUCAUGCCUCCUAAGGAGCAGUGGACGGGUCCUAGCACGUGCUAUGAGCCACCCGCUGUCCAGGGAGCAGUUACCUCUGUCUUGCCAGCUUCGUGGGGACAGACAGUUCAGCUCAUCAUUUAUGAGACAGAAAACGGGAAUCUGGAGGGUCUGUGGCUGGCCUCGUCCUGGGUGUACAGGGGGUCACCUGAGGUGUGGUCUGAGGCCUCCGGGGAAGGGCAUUUCUUUGCAGGACGCAGUUUCCAGGCUCAAGAGGGUGGAGGGAAUUCCUAAGGGUCGCUCUUCACCAAGAGCGCAGGGCCCUGGUAGACCUCAGCAUCGUCACGGAGAAAGCUGUGGGCGCAGAGGCGUUGGGGACAAGGCGGGGACGGAAUUUCGUAUUUCAGAUGACCAAGGCCAUUGGCCAAGUGUGAGUUCUUCAACGCGGGUGGGAGCGUGAAGGACCGCAUCAGCCUGCGGAUGAUUGAGGAUGCUGAGCGCGACGGGACGCUGAAGCCCGGGGACACGAUUAUCGAGCCGACAUCCGGGAACACCGGGAUCGGGCUGGCCCUGGCUGCAGCUGUGAGGGGCUAUCGCUGCAUCAUCGUGAUGCCAGAGAAGAUGAGCUCCGAGAAGGUGGAUGUGCUGCGGGCACUGGGGGCUGAGAUUGUGAGGACGCCCACCAAUGCCAGGUUCGACUCCCCGGAGUCACACGUGGGGGUGGCCUGGCGGCUGAAGAACGAAAUCCCCAAUUCUCACAUCCUAGACCAGUACCGCAACGCCAGCAACCCCCUGGCUCACUAUGACACCACCGCUGAUGAGAUCCUGCAGCAGUGUGACGGGAAGCUGGACAUGCUGGUGGCUUCAGUAGGCACAGGCGGCACCAUCACGGGCAUUGCCAGGAAGCUGAAGGAGAAGUGUCCUGGAUGCAGGAUCAUUGGGGUGGAUCCCGAAGGGUCCAUCCUCGCGGAGCCAGAGGAGCUGAACCAGACGGAGCAGACAACCUAUGAGGUGGAAGGGAUCGGCUACGACUUCAUCCCCACGGUGCUGGACAGGACGGUGGUGGACAAGUGGUUCAAGAGCAACGAUGAGGAGGCGUUCACCUUUGCCCGCAUGCUGAUCGCGCAAGAGGGGCUGCUGUGUGGUGGCAGUGCCGGCAGCACGGUGGCGGUGGCUGUGAAAGCCGCGCAGGAGCUGCAGGAGGGCCAGCGCUGCGUGGUCAUUCUGCCUGACUCAGUGCGGAACUACAUGACCAAGUUCCUGAGCGACAGGUGGAUGCUGCAGAAGGGCUUUCUGAAGGAGGAGGACCUCACGGAGAAGAAGCCCUGGUGGUGGCACCUCCGAGUUCAGGAGCUGAGCCUGUCAGCCCCACUGACCGUGCUCCCGACCGUCACCUGUGAGCACACCAUUGAGAUCCUCCGGGAGAAGGGCUUCGACCAGGCGCCCGUGGUGGACGAGGCGGGGGUAAUCCUGGGAAUGGUGACGCUUGGGAACAUGCUGUCGUCCCUGCUUGCCGGGAAGGUGCAGCCGUCAGACCAAGUUGGCAAAGUCAUCUACAAGCAGUUCAAACAGAUCCGCCUCACGGACACGCUGGGCAGGCUCUCGCACAUCCUGGAGAUGGACCACUUCGCCCUGGUGGUGCACGAGCAGAUCCAGUACCACAGCACCGGGAAGUCCAGUCAGCGGCAGAUGGUGUUCGGGGUGGUCACCGCCAUUGAUUUGCUGAACUUCGUGGCCGCCCAGGAGCGGGACCGGAAGUGAAGUCCGGAGCGCUGAGCGGUGCGGAGCGGGCCCGCCACCCUCGCCCACUUCUUCGCUUUCCUGAGCCCUAAACACACACGUGAUUGGUAACUGCCUGGCCUGGCACCCGUUAUCCCUGCAGACGGCGCGGAGCAUCCGUCUCCCCUCAUUAACCCAUGGCUUCCUAAAUGGCCCUGUUUACGGCCUAUGAGAUGAAAUAUGUGAUUUUCUCUAAUGUAACUUCCUCUUAGGAUGUUUCACCAAGGAAAUAUUGAGAGAGAAGUCGGCCAGGUAGGAUGAACACAGGCAAUGACUGGGCAGAGUGGAUCAAAGGCAAAAGAGAGAAGAGUCCAGGAAGGGGGCGGGGAGAAGCCUGGGUGGCUCAGCAUCCUCCACGGGCAGCGCCGUCUGCUCGGGGCUGAGCUGGCGGGAGCAGUUUGAGUGUUUGGGUUUUUAAAUUGAGAUGAAAUUCAAAUAACCUGCAAACCAAUCACUUUAAAGUGAACAAUCAGCGGCAUUUAGUACAUCCAGAAAGUUGUGUAGGCAUCGCCUCUGUCACAUUCCGGAACAUUCUGUCAUCACCCUAUGAAGCAAUCAUUUCCCCUCCCGUCUUCCUCCUUCCCUGACAACUGCUAAUCGACUUUGUGUCUCUGUUGUCUAAAAUAGGUUUUCCCUGUUCUGGACAUUUCAUAUAAAUGGAAUCACACAA
Molecule: small RNA, 2655 nt
Filed under: Pongo abelii (Sumatran orangutan)
Lineage: Eukaryota; Metazoa; Chordata; Mammalia; Primates; Hominidae
Description: retained intron
Source: RNAcentral